RNAcentral lists this ribosomal RNA (315 nucleotides) under uncultured bacterium. Its description in RNAcentral is "bacterial SSU rRNA". It matches the Rfam family "Bacterial small subunit ribosomal RNA", at positions 40 to 348 of the family's 1533-position model. The record is from RNAcentral.
CGGCAGGCUUAAUACAUGCAAGUCGUGGGGCAGCGCAGUGUAGCAAUACAUGGGCGGCGACCGGCAAACGGGUGCGGAACACGUACGCAACCUUCCUUUAAGUGGGGGAUAGCCCAGGGAAACUUGGAUUAAUACCCCGUAAUAUUACGGAAUGGCAUCAUUUUGUAAUUAUAGGCUUCGGCCGCUUGAAGAUGGGCGUGCGCCUGAUUAGGUAGUUGGCGGGGUAACGGCCCACCAAGCCUUCGAUCAGUAACUGGUGUGAGAGCACGACCAGUCACACGGGCACUGAGACACGGGCCCGACUCCUACGGGAGG